RNAcentral lists this ribosomal RNA (207 nucleotides) under uncultured bacterium. RNAcentral's name for it is "partial 16S ribosomal RNA". It matches the Rfam family "Bacterial small subunit ribosomal RNA", at positions 568 to 774 of the family's 1533-position model. The record is from RNAcentral.
CGCGUAGGCGGGUUUGUUAGUCAGAGGUGAAAUCCUACGGCUUAACCGUAGAACUGCCUUUGAUACUGCAGAUCUUGAGUACGGAAGAGAGAGACGGAAUUCCAGGUGUAGUGGUGAAAUACGUAGAUAUCUGGAAGAACACCAGUGGCGAAGGCGGUCUCUUGGUCCGUUACUGACGCUGAGGCGCGAAAGCGUGGGGAGCAAACA